This 301-nucleotide ribosomal RNA is filed under the name uncultured bacterium. RNAcentral describes it as "partial 16S ribosomal RNA". It matches the Rfam family "Bacterial small subunit ribosomal RNA", at positions 509 to 809 of the family's 1533-position model. The record is from RNAcentral.
CAGUAGCCGCGGUAAUACAGAGGGUGCGAGCGUUAAUCGGAUUUACUGGGCGUAAAGCGUGCGUAGGCGGCUUCUUAAGUCGGAUGUGAAAUCCCUGAGCUUAACUUAGGAAUUGCAUUCGAUACUGGGAAGCUAGAGUAUGGGAGAGGAUGAUAGAAUUCCAGGUGUAGCGGUGAAAUGCGUAGAGAUCUGGAGGAAUACCGAUGGCGAAGGCAGCCAUCUGGCCUAAUACUGACGCUGAGGUACGAAAGCAUGGGGAGCAAACAGGAUUAGAUACCCCCGUAGUCCCUGUCUCUUAUAA